RNAcentral lists this ribosomal RNA (471 nucleotides) under uncultured bacterium. RNAcentral's name for it is "partial 16S ribosomal RNA". It matches the Rfam family "Bacterial small subunit ribosomal RNA", at positions 28 to 507 of the family's 1533-position model. The record is from RNAcentral.
GACGAACGCUGGCGGCGUGCUUAACACAUGCAAGUCGAACGACGAAGCCUAGCUUGCUAGGUGGAUUAGUGGCGAACGGGUGAGUAAUACGUGAGUAACCUACCUUUAACUCUGGGAUAAGCCUGGGAAACUGGGUCUAAUACCGGAUACGACCAAUCUCCGCCUGGGGUGUUGGUGGAAAGCGUUAUGUAGUGGUUAUAGAUGGGCUCACGGCCUAUCAGCUUGUUGGUGAGGUAACGGCUCACCAAGGCGACGACGGGUAGCCGGCCUGAGAGGGUGACCGGCCACACUGGGACUGAGACACGGCCCAGACGCCUGCGGGAGGCAGCAGUGGGGAAUAUUGCACAAUGGGCGAAAGCCUGAUGCAGCGACGCCGCGUGAGGGAUAAAGGCCUUCGGGUUGUAAACCUCUGUUAGCAGGGAAGAAGAGAAAUUGACGGUACCUGCAGAGAAAGCGCCGGCUAACUACGUG